UACGUAGGGGGCGAGCGUUGUCCGGAUUUAUUGGGCGUAAAGAGCUCGUAGGCGGUCUGUCACGUCGGCUGUGAAAACCCGGGGCUCAACCCCGGGCCUGCAGUCGAUACGGGCAGACUAGAGUGCGGUAGGGGAGACUGGAAUUCCUGGUGUAGCGGUGAAAUGCGCAGAUAUCAGGAGGAACACCGGUGGCGAAGGCGGGUCUCUGGGCCGUAACUGACGCUGAGGAGCGAAAGCGUGGGGAGCGAACAGG
This 253-nucleotide ribosomal RNA is filed under the name uncultured bacterium. RNAcentral's name for it is "partial 16S ribosomal RNA". It matches the Rfam family "Bacterial small subunit ribosomal RNA", at positions 524 to 776 of the family's 1533-position model. The record is from RNAcentral.